Molecule: transfer RNA, 69 nt
Filed under: Camelus bactrianus (Bactrian camel)
Lineage: Eukaryota; Metazoa; Chordata; Mammalia; Artiodactyla; Camelidae
Also listed under: 2 other names
Rfam family: tRNA
About the family: Transfer RNA (tRNA) molecules are approximately 80 nucleotides in length. Their secondary structure includes four short double-helical elements and three loops (D, anti-codon, and T loops). Further hydrogen bonds mediate the characteristic L-shaped molecular structure. tRNAs have two regions of fundamental functional importance: the anti-codon, which is responsible for specific mRNA codon recognition, and the 3' end, to which the tRNAs corresponding amino acid is attached (by aminoacyl-tRNA synthetases). tRNAs cope with the degeneracy of the genetic code in two manners: having more than one tRNA (with a specific anti-codon) for a particular amino acid; and 'wobble' base-pairing, i.e. permitting non-standard base-pairing at the 3rd anti-codon position.
Source: Rfam by way of RNAcentral
GGCAGUGUGGCUCAGUGGCAAAGCGUGUGCUUAGCAUGCAUGAGGUCCUGGGUUCAAGCCCCACUGCCC